Molecule: long non-coding RNA, 93 nt
Organism: Thalassophryne amazonica
Lineage: Eukaryota; Metazoa; Chordata; Actinopteri; Batrachoidiformes; Batrachoididae
Exons: 4
Source: RefSeq, a predicted model, not a curated record
AUAUAUAACUGGUCAAACGAGACAAAAUACUGUGUAACACGAUUUUUGUUCCUGGCAAGUAAGUGUCUUUUUCCAACUACAUCUAUUGCAAAA